UGUAGGUUCUGGAUAUUAGCCCUUUGUCAGAUGAGUAGAUUGCAAAAAUUUUCUCCCAUUCUGUAGGCAGGCCAGAUUCUUAAACUGGGUAAUAGAGGUUCCUGACCUGGAGCCUGUCAUAGUGUCUGUCAGUGUUACUGAUGGCGGCUGUCAGACUCCAGGGGUGCCAGUAUUACUGUGGACUAGUAUUAUUCUGUGAGACUGUUACUGAGUCCAUCAACAUCGCUGUGUCACUGUGUUGAUGUCACCGUCAGUGUUACUCUAUGUGACGGAGUCUCAUUGCAUCUUUGAUUCUGAGGCUACUGUCACUGUGACUGUAUCAUUGUCAACUGGUAUCAUUGCCCUGUUUGUUGGUGUCAAUGUAUGUGACUGUCACUCACUGCAUUAUUGUCAUUGUGGUGACUGUCAACAUCCCUGUGUGUCAUUGUCAAUGGUACAACUGUGUCAUUUUCAAUGGGCGUUGUUAUCAUUGUGUAAUGGUGUCUUUAUGCCACAGCAGGACAAUGGCAGUAAGUUGGGACCCCAGAAUUUGACUCUUAAUGUGUUACCUGUGUAGGAGUAAUGAUGACACUGGGGUUCUUUGCUGGGAUAGGUGCAGGGACCCUUGUGCUGACAAGGGAUUCAGGGGCUUCUGGGCCCUGGGCUCCUUUCUUGCUUAUGGGGUACCCCCUCUGUUCCCUCCUCAUUCUGGGGCUGACCUCUUCAAGGGGCUGAUAGGAAGCCUGGGCCAGUUUGCAUAGCCCUUAUCUGGGGCUCUAUGGGAUUCAUCCUGCAGAUCUAUCCCAGAGCCAUAGGGUGUGGACUUGGAAAAUUCUCAGGAAAGAUGCUCUUUACCCUGGGAUGGGUGGCCUGGAAUGAGCCAAGGCAGGAUGGAGGUGUGUCCUGGAUGCCUCUGGCCUCAACCUCCGACCUGGGCAGUGGGCCCAGUUGGGAGUCUGAGGAAAGGGGGAAGUGACACUGGCCUGGGGCUUUCUGGAUCUGCAGGGCAGGGGCAUGGAUGGGGUUUCACCCUUGUCCCCUAGGGGCUGGGGUCCUGGAUCCCCAGAAAGAAUCCUUCCAGCCUCCAGGAGGGCCCUGCUCUUGCCUCACAUAACAUUGACCACCAUCCCAUCCUCCUUUGUGCUAGAGGAGCUGGGCAGGCCAUGGAGAUGCUCUAGGGUGGGCAGAGACCCCUCCCAGGGGUCUCCUCCCUUCUCUCUGGAUCUGUCCCUCUGCCCUUGAGUCUCUGCCCAUCUCCUAUGUGCCCCAUCUUUCCCCCUGCGUCUCUCCUAUCUCAGCCUCUCCUUGUCCCUCUGGGUCUCCACUCAGAGCUCCUUCUCUCUCCCUGCCUCUUGUUUCCCCUCCCUGAGUCUCUCCCUUUUCUGGGUGCCCCCAACCCUGCAGUGUCUGUCUUGGCACCCCACCCCCACUCUGCAGCACUCACUCUCAGCAGCGCCCGUCUCCCGUGGCUGCAGCCCUGUUGGCCCAGGGCCCGGCCCUUACAGUAACUCAUCGGGCUGAUGGAGGCGACUUUGAUGAAGAAGCCACCCCUCCCCCUGCGGGGGCCUGAGUGUGUGUGUGUGAGUGUGUGUGCGUGUGCACGCAUGCACGUGGGAGUGUGUGCUUGUGCGGACCAGGAGGGAGCUGGGAGUAAAGGCCAUCCGUUCCUCCUCUCCCUAAACACUCCCAUCCUUGGAUCUAACCUCAGCCGCUCUGCCUGCUCUUCUGCCUGCCCAUGCCCUGGUUCCUGCUCCCAUGUGGUGGGCAGUGGGCCUGGGACCAAGGCGGAGGAUCUUCCUGGCUGUGAGGAGAAAGACAUGGACAGAUGGCAGAGGCAGUGGGGGAAGGUCUGAGGGCGACUGGCCAGGGCUGAGGUCAGGGAACCAGAUGGCUGCUCCUGUCCCGUGGGCCUGCUGUGCUGUGCUUGCUGCUGCCGCUGCAGUUGUCUACACCCAGAGACACAGUCCACAGGAGGCACCCCAUGUGCAGUACGAGCGCCUGGGCUCCGACGUGACACUGCCAUGUGGGACAGCAAACUGGGAUGCAGCAGUGACGUGGCGGGUAAAUGGGACAGACCUGGCCCCUGACCUGCUCAACGGCUCUCAGCUGGUGCUCCGUGGCCUAGAACUGGGCCACAGUGGCCUGUACGCCUGCUUCCACCGUGACUCCUGGCACCUGCGCCACCAAGUCCUGCUGCAUGUGGGCUUGCCGCCGCGGGAGCCUGUGCUCAGCUGCCGCUCCAACACUUACCCCAAGGGCUUCUACUGCAGCUGGCAUCUGCCCACCCCCACCUACAUUCCCAACACCUUCAAUGUGACUGUGCUGCAUGGCUCCAAAAUUAUGGUCUGUGAGAAGGACCCAGCCCUCAAGAACCGCUGCCACAUUCGCUACAUGCACCUGUUCUCCACCAUCAAGUACAAGGUCUCCAUAAGUGUCAGCAAUGCCCUGGGCCACAAUGCCACAGCUAUCACCUUUGACGAGUUCACCAUUGUGAAGCCUGAUCCUCCAGAAAAUGUGGUAGCCCGGCCAGUGCCCAGCAACCCUCGCCGGCUGGAGGUGACAUGGCAGAUCCCCUCGACCUGGCCUGACCCUGAGUCUUUUCCUCUCAAGUUCUUUCUGCGCUACCGACCCCUCAUCCUGGACCAGUGGCAGCAUGUGGAGCUGUCUGAUGGCACAGCACACACCAUCACAGAUGCCUACGCCGGGAAGGAGUACAUUAUCCAAGUGGCAGCCAAGGACAAUGAAAUUGGGACAUGGAGUGACUGGAGCGUGGCUGCCCAUGCUACGCCCUGGACUGAGGAACCGCGACACCUCACUACGGAGGCCCAGGCUGCGGACCACGACCAGCACCACCAGCUCCCUGGCACCCCCACCUACCACGAAGAUCUGUGACCCUGGGGAGCUGGGCAGCGGCGGGGGACCCUCGGUACCCUUCUUGGUCAGCGUCCCUGUCACUCUGGCCCUGGCUGCCGCUGCCACCACUGCCAGCAAUCUCAUGAUCUGAGCCCGGCACCCCAUGAGGACAUGCAGAGCACCUGCAGAGGAGCAAGAGGCCGGAGCUGAGCCUGCAGACCCCGGUUUCUAUUUUGCACACGGGCAGGAGGACCUUUUGCAUUCUCUUCAGACACAAUUUGUGGAGACCCGCGGCGGGCCCGGGCCUGCCGCCCCCCAGCCCUGCUGCACCAAGCUGGCCCUCCUUCCUCCCUCGUGGGAGGUGGGCCAUGCAGCUAACCCACCCACCAAAGACCCCCUCACCCUGGCCCCUUGGGCUGGACCCUCCAAUGCCAGCGACUCCCAGGAGCCCUUGGGGGACGUGAGGGAGCCUCUCACAUCCGAUUUCUCCUGCCCCAGCCUCCUGUCUAUCCCAGGGUCUCUGUUGCCACCGUCAGAUUAUAAGCUCCUGAUGCUGGGGGGGCCCAGCCAUCCCCCUCCCCCCAGCACCCACACUUUUCAGUCCCCUCCCCUCUGCCCUGUUUUGUACACCCCUCCCCUGACCCUGCUCCUAUCCCACAGUAUUUAAUGCCCUGUCAGUCCCUUCUAGUCUGACUCAAUGGUAACUUGCUGUAUUUGAAUUUUUUAUAGAUGUAUAUACAGGGUGGGGGGGUGGGGGGUUCUCAUUAAACGUCACCAUUUCAUGAG
Cercocebus atys (sooty mangabey) is the source of this 3618-nucleotide RNA transcript. It is a transcript of the gene named ciliary neurotrophic factor receptor, with no coding region annotated. Lineage: Eukaryota; Metazoa; Chordata; Mammalia; Primates; Cercopithecidae. The record is from RefSeq and is a predicted model, not a curated record. The transcript has 9 exons.